Molecule: long non-coding RNA, 283 nt
Filed under: Mytilus galloprovincialis (Mediterranean mussel)
Lineage: Eukaryota; Metazoa; Mollusca; Bivalvia; Mytilida; Mytilidae
Source: RNAcentral
GCAGAAUUGUAAUUAAUUGCUUAAAUAAAUAUAAAAAAAAUAUAUUUGCUGUUUUAUAUGUCGUUAUAUUGAUUUUUUACAUUCUGAUUAGAUUGAUAUUUUUCAAAUAUAAACGUUUUCUUUUAAACUAAAAGGAUCAACUACAUAUUGUGUAAUUAUGAUGAAUGAAUAAGACAUAUAUCAAAUGUUCAAGGUUAUGUUGUUCACAGCUAAUCCAGAAAGAGGGGGCUUGCUUAGUUUUAAUCUUAACAAAUUCUUAUGGUGAAAUGCAAAAUCCAGCUGC